GCGCCAAAGUUUAUCAGAGUCGACGCAUCGAGCGAUACUAUAAAUAGUUGGCCUGGCAUCGCGCAGUAUAAGUCGACCUUGUCCUUUCGCUUAUAUAACACCUUCGGCCGCAAAUUGCAGCUUCAUUUAAUCCAGGUCUGUCAGUCGGCGCGUAUAGACUCCCUCGGACUAAUGCGAACAAAUAAGAGAUCAAAUAAGAGAGAAGGAACAAAGUUAGAUACACAGUUACCAAUACAAACGGAUUCACCACGCGCGUUUUCAUCCGACACAAGUGAGUACUACUUCAGAACUGUGGACCUUGGCCAAAAUACAUUCAUUAUACAAGAUGGCCUGUUAUUCAUCAACGAC
This is a long non-coding RNA of Diprion similis, 348 nucleotides long. RefSeq lists it as uncharacterized. The record is from RefSeq and is a predicted model, not a curated record. NCBI's taxonomy places the organism in Eukaryota, Metazoa, Arthropoda, Insecta, Hymenoptera, Diprionidae. The transcript is spliced from 2 exons.